Molecule: non-coding RNA, 24 nt
Filed under: Arabidopsis thaliana (thale cress)
Lineage: Eukaryota; Viridiplantae; Streptophyta; Magnoliopsida; Brassicales; Brassicaceae
Source: RNAcentral
AGCAAUUUCCAUGGAGCUAGAUGC